UAGGGAAUCUUCCACAAUGGACGAAAGUCUGAUGGAGCAACGCCGCGUGAGUGAAGAAGGGUUUCGGCUCGUAAAGCUCUGUUGUUAAAGAAGAACGUGGGUAAGAGUAACUGUUUACCCAGUGACGGUAUUUAACCAGAAAGCCGCGGCUAACUGCGUGCCAG
This 164-nucleotide ribosomal RNA is filed under the name uncultured bacterium. RNAcentral's name for it is "partial 16S rRNA". It matches the Rfam family "Bacterial small subunit ribosomal RNA", at positions 355 to 511 of the family's 1533-position model. The record is from RNAcentral.